UUGAAUUGAAGAGUUUGAUCAUGGCUCAGAUUGAACGCUGGCGGCAGGCUUAACACAUGCAAGUCGAACGGUAGCAGGAGGAAGCUUGCUUUCUUGCUGACGAGUGGCGGACGGGUGAGUAAUGCUUGGGAAUCUGGCUUAUGGAGGGGGAUAACGACGGGAAACUGUCGCUAAUACCGCGUAGUGUCGAGAGACGAAAGUGCGGGACUGUAAAGCCGCAUGCCAUAGGAUGAGCCCAAGUGGGAUUAGGUAGUUGGUGGGGUAAAUGCCUACCAAGCCUGCGAUCUCUAGCUGGUCUGAGAGGAUGACCAGCCACACUGGAACUGAGACACGGUCCAGAC
Molecule: ribosomal RNA, 341 nt
Filed under: Haemophilus influenzae
Lineage: Bacteria; Pseudomonadati; Pseudomonadota; Gammaproteobacteria; Pasteurellales; Pasteurellaceae
Description: bacterial SSU rRNA
Rfam family: Bacterial small subunit ribosomal RNA
Source: RNAcentral